UUAAUAUAUUCAAUGUUAAUAAUCUUUAUUAACAUAGUCAAUGUUUCAGAGUUCACUAUAUUUUUUAGUUUGGGAAUAAUAAAUAUAAUUUUUUAAAAGAAGGAAAGUAAGAUGUAUCUAUCCAAGAACUUACAUACUUUCCACUAAGUGUCUCUUAAAAACCUAAAGCAGAGCUUUGAGAAUCCUUUAGAAAGUUUACACAGAGUGGUUGGAGGGAAGCAUUCAUAAAUGUAUAGCUCUGUGCACAAGGAUGUCCUUUGAUAUAAAACACAGUCACACAGUUUGCAUUGUGGAAACUAGCAGGGUAGCUAGCUCUCCAGAAAGAAAUUGAGGCAGUUUCCCUACCACGCUUCUGCUGUUCACAUAAGAUCUGAAAGAGUAACCUCGUCAAGAACAAGGUAACCUCUUGAUGAAUAUCUUGAAACUUUUGAUUUGAAAGUUUGAAAAGCAAUACCGAGAGGCUAUGGGAUUCAAGAGAUGGUAAAAUGAAUGCCUAAUACUAUAGUCAACACUUGGCACAGUGGGAUUGACACAUCUACUCCAAAGUAUUUCAUGAUAAAACUAGGGAAAUGCAAGAAAAGGAAAGAGACAAUGACUUGCAAAAAACAAAAACAAAAACAAAAAACCCCACCACCAUGAGCACUCAAAACAUAGGAGGUUUACACCAAAACUGACUCUCAUUUACAGUCACUACAAGAGAACUUAACUUUUAAAUGCAAGAAUAAAUAAAAUAAAAACCCACAAUAUUUCUUUUUCAACAUGAUUGUCAAGUAUUGGUGGAGAACAAUAUUCUUUACAUAGUAUUUAGGAUAUUUAAUCUUUUAUUCUCACCCAAGUUUUAAUAAUAAGGGUAGCAAAAAUUGGUGGAUAUAUAUAUAUAUAUAUAUAUAUAUAUAUAUAUAUCUUUAUUCCAUAAUUAAAUAGGACAUUUUUGUUGUUCAUUAAUAUUUUCUAGUUCUUACAUAUUAUGGCAAAUAAGGGAUAGUUGAUACUAUUUAAGAUUCAAGCCAAAAGCCAAAUAUCAAAGAAAACUACUUGAUUCAAGUGAGAACUAAAAGAAGUACCAUUCACUAAAUACGGGGAAUUUGUGCUUCAAUAACAAAACAAUUAUAAUAGAUUAAAGGAGAUAAAGUCCAUGACUUCAAAUUGAUAAUAAAAUACAU
This is a long non-coding RNA of Phyllostomus discolor (pale spear-nosed bat), 1163 nucleotides long. RefSeq lists it as uncharacterized. NCBI's taxonomy places the organism in Eukaryota, Metazoa, Chordata, Mammalia, Chiroptera, Phyllostomidae. The transcript has 3 exons. The record is from RefSeq and is a predicted model, not a curated record.